Polyodon spathula (Mississippi paddlefish) is the source of this 2171-nucleotide long non-coding RNA. RefSeq lists it as uncharacterized. Lineage: Eukaryota; Metazoa; Chordata; Actinopteri; Acipenseriformes; Polyodontidae. The record is from RefSeq and is a predicted model, not a curated record. The transcript has 4 exons.
UUCUUACUUAACCCUGUAAGCUGUUCUAUUUAUUGUAUGCCAGUGAGCAAAACAGGCAAAAAAUAUAUUUUAGCUUGGCUUUUAAAACAUUGGACAUUUAAGUGCUAAAUUGUUACAACAAACACAAAAAAGAAUAAUAAUAAUAAUAAUAAUAAUAAUAAUAAUAAUAAUAAUAAUAAUAAUAAUACAAAAUAUAUCUAUGCAGGUAUUUACAAACAAGAUUAGAUAAACCUAAAGGAGUCUUCAAUCAAAGAAGGAAACAGAAAUCAAACUUACAAAGUGUUCAAAGGCAGACGUUUCCUCCCCCCGUGGGAGCAGCUGUUGUCCAGCAUGGCCGCAGUCCCCUCACCAGGCUGCCUGCUUGCAAGGAAUCAGUUUUACAGAAACCGAAUUAAUUCCUCUUCCAGCCAUUCAUCUGGAAUCUCCAAUAUGUCAAAAGACAACGAAGGGAGCCUCCCCCUAACCACUAAAUCCAUACGUCAAGCUGUGGAGAAAAGUUGGUUGAGCGGUGCAUUUGUUGGAAGUUUGGGACAGAACUCCAGUACUGGCAAGGUUUCAUCAAAAAAAUAGGAUAACAUGGUAUUGCAACGGAAAGCCGGACUCACUCUGAUGGAGACAAAAAAAAAAAAAAAGGAACUUUAUACGGUCUGUGCUAAUGAAGGAUGCGGAAAACGGUAUGUGUUUUAAUGUUACUGAGUUACAAAGACUGGCUUGAGAAGACAGAAGAACUACGUGAUGCUCAUGCCUGCCGCUUGAAAAAGGCAAAAUGUGUUUUAUUCCAUUAGAAAAACCAGGCAGCAGGCCAAACUUGGACCCCAGGGGGGGGGGGGGGGGGGGGGAGUGUACAUGGCCAUAGAAAUCGAUUGGUUCAUUGAUAGUGCUAAAGCUCAGACAGAUGUGCGGCUGAGAAAGAAUAAACACAAAAAAGUGUACAAUCAGCACAAAAGCUUGAAGUAAAACACCAAAUAAAAUACAGCACGUUGAGCUCACUUAGCAGUUUCCCCAAUAGUGUGGAAUAGGUUGAGACAGCUUUUGGCAUGACCAUGUUACAUAAUUCUACAGUUCCUGGCCUUCUCUGAAACACACCAGAAUGAAUUUGAGGCUAUUUGAGCAAUGCACUGCCAGUUGCAGAAAAACAGGUAAUGUAAAAGGAUUAGUGGCACACAUGGAAACUACUUCUCACAAUGUUUUAUCAGCUAUUAGAAAAUAGUUUUGUUUUUGUAAAUAUGUACAGCAUUAUUUUGUCUACUCUUCCAACAUUACAACUCAGUCUUUUACAAAUCUCUGGGAUCUGUGACUUACAAAACAAAUUUAAAAAAUAAAAUCGAAAUACUAUUAUACUUUAAAACAUGUAAUAAAAUUAAGUCAAUUUUACACUCACUGUAUAUGGCCUCCGAUUCAUGUACUGUUCUGUCGCAGAUAAGACUUUGCAGCUGUACAACCUACAUAAGCCAAUGCUGCAUUUGCAACAUGUAAUACCAAAUAUUAAGCUGAUGUUAUGUGCUUUAGAAGAUUAAUUGGUGCUGAUCUGGGCAUCAUUGCAGAGUCAUCAUUGUUCAGCUUUAAAGACCAGCAAUUCUAGUAAAAAACAAGGCAUUGCCUGCUUAUGAAUCCGAAGGGAGAAAACAAUAAAUCACUCACUGACAAAUUGUUAUGCAACCCACACACGGGGAAUGAUGCAAUAAAGAAGAAAUUAAGUAGGUAGUUACUCAAUUGCGCACUGUAGGGGAAUUUGAACACAAGAGCCCUGUGUCAAGCUAGUGUCUUGCUAAUUCUCCCUUCUGUAAACUCUAAUGCCACAGUGUUGGAAUGUUUGGUUGCAUUCCCUAAGUGCAGUUUAGAGCUAUGGGCACACAGGCUUUCCUAACAAACACAGCUGCCAUUAGUUUAUAAAAAUAUGAAUAUCUGUAUGAAAUGGCUUCCAAGAUACAGUACCAAGACAACUUUUGUAUUAAGACAACAGUUUUGGGCUGUUUCUUGCUUUUAUACCAUUUCUUAGAACAUCUUGCUUUAACACAUUUUAGAAACCAUAAAACAACUCAAUAAUACUUUGUUCAAACCAAAAAUAACAUAUGUUGGCUGCUGAAGGCCAUUUUAUUAAUCUGCAAAACCCAAGGUGGUAAGAAAGAAAAAAGAAAAAAGUGUUACAAAAAAUGUAAUUUUUUUUUUUU